UACAGAGGGUGCGAGCGUUAAUCGGAAUUACUGGGCGUAAAGCGCGCGUAGGCGGCUUGUUAAGUCGGAUGUGAAAUCCCUGGGCUCAACCUAGGCAUUGCAUUCGAUACUGGCGAGCUAGAGUAUGGGAGAGGAAGGUAGAAUUCCAGGUGUAGCGGUGAAAUGCGUAGAGAUCUGGAGGAAUACCGAUGGCGAAGGCAGCCUUCUGGCCUAAUACUGACGCUGAGGUGCGAAAGCAUGGGGAGCAAACAGG
This 253-nucleotide ribosomal RNA is filed under the name uncultured bacterium. RNAcentral describes it as "partial 16S ribosomal RNA". It matches the Rfam family "Bacterial small subunit ribosomal RNA", at positions 524 to 776 of the family's 1533-position model. The record is from RNAcentral.